Molecule: long non-coding RNA, 585 nt
Organism: Numida meleagris (helmeted guineafowl)
Lineage: Eukaryota; Metazoa; Chordata; Aves; Galliformes; Numididae
Exons: 3
Source: RefSeq, a predicted model, not a curated record
UUUAGAAUUAAUCCAUUCCUGUCUCCUGGCAACCACUUACCAUUAUAUCUACAGCCAAGACAGCAAGUAAACAUCCGCUGUAAAAAUGCAAAAACUCUGAAGCAUCAAGAACCGUUUUCUGCUGAGGCUGCUAGAUAGAUUCUACCUUGCAAAUCCAACCCUGAAAAUCACAGUUACUCAGACAAAAUAUGGCAAGAGACUUGCACUUCCAUCAGCAGCUCAAAUGUCACUAAAGCCUGUUACUUUCAUGUGCUGAAGCAGUAAAACAGAUAAGAAAGGAACUUACAUAAAUUCUGCUCCCUUUGUCUUUCUACUUGUGGUACCUGCCUAUAUGUUCUUGCCGUGGCCUCAAAUAUGCAAAAGUCUCUCUGUCAUUGGACUUCUGAGCACAAAAAAAAAAAAAGAGGUAACAUUCAGUCUGAGGGGAAAAUAAACACAGAAAGAGAAGGAACUGUUGAUCUUGGUAAUUUUGGAAGAGUGUGAGUGACAAACAGCAAGAAUCAGAACAGGUGUUUCUGGGUGUGUGAGCUGUACAACUGCAGUCUUUCUUUAGCAGCACAUCCAUCAGGGGCACAUUUACCGUAA